UGUAAUUUACAUAUUUUUUCCUUUUUUUUUUGCAGUAUUUACUCCUAUUUUAAAUUUAUUUUGCAUGCAUUCCAAUUUUAGAUGAAGUGGUUGUAUGUUUGAUAUCGAAGUCAAUAUUUACUUUCAUAUUUCUUUCAUGCCAUUCCCAUAAAUCAUUUCAGCAGUAGGCAUGAAUUCAAAAUUGUUCAGGUAUCCUGCAAAUGGCAUUGUUGAUAAG
RNAcentral lists this long non-coding RNA (217 nucleotides) under Gossypium raimondii (Peruvian cotton). Its description in RNAcentral is "long non-coding RNA (GRAI_LNC006055)". The record is from RNAcentral. Lineage: Eukaryota; Viridiplantae; Streptophyta; Magnoliopsida; Malvales; Malvaceae.